This 92-nucleotide transfer RNA is filed under the name Anopheles minimus. Its description in RNAcentral is "tRNA tRNA-Tyr". It matches the Rfam family "tRNA". Rfam says of the family: Transfer RNA (tRNA) molecules are approximately 80 nucleotides in length. Their secondary structure includes four short double-helical elements and three loops (D, anti-codon, and T loops). Further hydrogen bonds mediate the characteristic L-shaped molecular structure. tRNAs have two regions of fundamental functional importance: the anti-codon, which is responsible for specific mRNA codon recognition, and the 3' end, to which the tRNAs corresponding amino acid is attached (by aminoacyl-tRNA synthetases). tRNAs cope with the degeneracy of the genetic code in two manners: having more than one tRNA (with a specific anti-codon) for a particular amino acid; and 'wobble' base-pairing, i.e. permitting non-standard base-pairing at the 3rd anti-codon position. Lineage: Eukaryota; Metazoa; Arthropoda; Insecta; Diptera; Culicidae. The record is from RNAcentral.
CCUUCGAUAGCUCAGUUGGUAGAGCGGUGGACUGUAGAGAUAUCGAGAGAAGAGUUAUCCAUAGGUCACUGGUUCAAAUCCGGUUCGAAGGA